AGCAUGAAACAUCCAGAAGAGCUAAAGCUUCCAAACUUAUGGAGGUAUUACCACGGAGAGGGCCUUCCAUUUUUCCUCAGUUCGUUAACAAAUUACGGCGAGAUUAUUCUUGGAUUGCCGGCAAACUAGAUACAGAAUAUGAAAAGGCACAAAAAGAGAUGCCCAAGGAUAUUAACUCAAAAUUAAUAGAUGUAAUAAACAAUCAGUUAUGUCCCCUGGUUUACGGGGUCGACGAUCAAAACAGUUUGUUGCCAUCGGAAACACAUCCUGGUCAUUUAGUUAAUCAACUAUCCGACACUGUGCAUACACUUCAAUACAGGAGUUACCGAGCUCUUGGGAUAUCAACACGUGACCCAGCAACUACGUAUAUGUCACUUCCGAGACUUAUAGAUCGUAAAGUUCAUAGCUUACAAAACAGUUUUAAUGAGAUGAAAUCGUCACUUUCUGAAGAGAAAAAAAAGAACAAAACAAAUAUACCUGUAGACAAAAAAUCUACCAAAGAGGCCACUAAAAUGAAAAAAGAACUUGAAAAAAUGAAAGAGGCUAACAAAAAACUAGAUUCUUCGUUGAAAGGAAGAAAUAAAAAGAUUCAGUCUCUGUCGUGUGAGAACUUAACUUUACAAACACAAAAUCGACAGCUACGAGAUCGUGUUGAAGAACUUGAAAAAGAGGCUCUGGUCUAUCACCGAGGGGCAAUGAUCACUGAAUGGAGAAUGUAAAGGGUACCAGACUCAGUAUUAUAAAAAUAAAAUAAGCAAGCUAUCAGAAGAAAUUUAAAUGAAGGGUGUCUCAUUUUGCCUCAAGAUAGUUAGGCGUGGGUUUCACAAAAAUACAUCCGACUAAAAUUGAUCAAUUCAUUAUACUUACGAUCAAUCUCAGUCGUAAGUUUUUUUGUGAAACCGACUCCAGUAUUUUUUUUAUUUGAGCUAGGAGUGUAUCCAAAAACUCAUAUACAUUAUUUGAUCUCAUGUGUUGUUUAAAUACUGCCUCAUGUCAAAAUAUGAAUAUGAAAAUUCAUAACAAUACUACAUUAUAAUCAGUGCUUAUUCUCUGUGAGAAUGUUAAUCCAAUUUACACAUAUAUUUUUGAUAAAGAUGUUAUUAAUAUAAUCAUAAUUAUCACUGAACAUUCUUUUUCAUAUUCAGAGAACAUUGCUACAUGUGUCUUUUUUUUUCAAGUUUGG
This 1183-nucleotide long non-coding RNA is filed under the name Mytilus galloprovincialis (Mediterranean mussel). Lineage: Eukaryota; Metazoa; Mollusca; Bivalvia; Mytilida; Mytilidae. The record is from RNAcentral.